Molecule: ribosomal RNA, 242 nt
Filed under: uncultured bacterium
Lineage: Bacteria
Description: partial 16S ribosomal RNA
Rfam family: Bacterial small subunit ribosomal RNA
Source: RNAcentral
CCGGCACGGGUGAGUAACACGUAUGCAAUCCACCUGUAACAGGGGGAGUAACCCGGAGAAAUCCGGACUAAUACCCCAUAAUAUGGGCGCUCCGCAUGGAGAGUCCAUUAAAGAGAGCAAUCUUGGUUACAGACGAGCAUGCGCUCCAUUAGCCAGUUGGCGGGGUAACGGCCCACCAAGGCGACGAUGGAUAGGGGUUCUGAGGGGAAGGUCCCCCACAUUGGAACUGAGACACGGUCCAA